UGCAAGUCGAGCGGAUUGAUGGGAGCUUGCUCCCUGAUAUCAGCGGCGGACGGGUGAGUAACACGUGGGCAACCUGCCUGUAAGACUGGGAUAACACCGGGAAACCGGUGCUAAUACCGGAUAAUCCUUUUCCUCUCAUGAGGAAAAGCUGAAAGUCGGUUUCGGCUGACACUUACAGAUGGGCCCGCGGCGCAUUAGCUAGUUGGUGAGGUAACGGCUCACCAAGGCGACGAUGCGUAGCCGACCUGAGAGGGUGAUCGGCCACACUGGGACUGAGACACGGCCCAGACUCCUACGGGAGGCAGCAGUAGGGAAUCUUCCACAAUGGACGAAAGUCUGAUGGAGCAACGCCGCGUGAGCGAUGAAGGCCUUUGGGUCGUAAAGCUCUGUUGUUAGGGAAGAACAAGUAUCGGAGUAACUGCCGGUACCUUGACGGUACCUAACCAGAAAGCCACGGCUAACUACGUGCCAGCAGCCGCGGUAAUACGUAGGUGGCAAACGUUGUCCGGAAUUAUUGGGCGUAAAGCGCGCGCAGGCGGUUCCUUAAGUCUGAUGUGAAAGCCCCCGGCUCAACCGGGGAGGAUCAUUGGAAACUGGGGAACUUGAGUGCAGAAGAGAAGAGCGGAAUUCCACGUGUAGCGGUGAUAUGCGUAGAGAUGUGGAGGAACACCAGUGGCGAAGGCGGCUCUUUGGUCUGUAACUGACGCUGAGGCGCGA
RNAcentral lists this ribosomal RNA (717 nucleotides) under uncultured bacterium. RNAcentral's name for it is "bacterial SSU rRNA". It matches the Rfam family "Bacterial small subunit ribosomal RNA", at positions 56 to 756 of the family's 1533-position model. The record is from RNAcentral.